UACGUAGGGUCCGAGCGUUGUCCGGAAUUAUUGGGCGUAAAGAGCGCGUAGGCGGUCUGUUGCGUCGGUUGUGAAAACCUGGGGCUCAACUCCAGGCCUGCAAUCGAUACGGGCAGACUAGAGUUCGGUAGGGGAGACUGGAAUUCCUGGUGUAGCGGUGAAAUGCGCAGAUAUCAGGAGGAACACCGGUGGCGAAGGCGGGUCUCUGGGCAUUAACUGACGCUGAGGAGCGAAAGCAUGGGGAGCGAACAGG
Molecule: ribosomal RNA, 253 nt
Filed under: uncultured bacterium
Lineage: Bacteria
Description: partial 16S ribosomal RNA
Rfam family: Bacterial small subunit ribosomal RNA
Source: RNAcentral